Molecule: long non-coding RNA, 6915 nt
Filed under: Triticum aestivum (bread wheat)
Lineage: Eukaryota; Viridiplantae; Streptophyta; Magnoliopsida; Poales; Poaceae
Description: long non-coding RNA (TAES_LNC013212)
Source: RNAcentral
AUGGCCGGAAGCUGGCUGCCGAAUCCCUCCCGCCGCUGGCACCAGCCAGUCUCAGCUCGAGGCGAGGUGAGCACGCUGGCCCUUACCCUAACUCUGCUUGACUUCUUGGUUUAUCAUCAUCUGCCCCUGAACAAAUGCAACCUUCACCCCUGAAAAAUUCUCAGAUUUUGUUCAGUGAUGCAGCUAUAUAUGGGGAUGUGGUGGUCUUCUAUCUGAUUGCUUUGCCUAGUCGCCGGUCGCCACACAUUGGGGAUUGGGGUACUACUGUACAGAGGGCAACUGGGAAUUGAACAUCAAAUGUUUUGCAACUCGUAGAGAAACUAGUGUUACUUAUGCGCCUUUUGAGUUCAUUUUCAUGCUGUUGAAAACAACAAUUAAGCCAUAGGGCUGGAUACUGACGACAAUACGCCGGUUCUAAUUGAAGUUUAACAUAUCGAUGUACAUCAUUUUGAUAGUGAAAGAGAGCUUAUAUUAUAUAUAAAACGGCUGUUACAAUCCUAACCAAUCAAAGGGGAAAUAAAUCUACUCUGUUACUCUUGUAGCACGUCAGCUACAAGAGUCGCUUCCUUGUUUGUUCUAGCAUAAUAUGCGAAGCUGGUGGGCAGCUCCAUUGCUCUCUCUUAUGAUAUUACACAUGCAGCCUGCACUCCGGAAAAAUCUCCAUCACAAAUCCCUCUGUCAGUCUCUUCUCUGAAUUCUUUGACAGCACCUACUACUCCGCUGUGUAGUCCAUUUCAGGCACAGCCGGCCACCCUGUAAAUUUCAGAUAACUGACGGAGGCCAACCAGCCAUCACAUCGAUAGCUUGUAAGCCUCCUCUGCCUCAGAGCACGCUCUUAUCUUUCUAAUUAGCGUAAGUGGGAUAGAUUAUUUGGAUUUAGGUACCUUUGUCUUGUUUCAUUUAAGGAUACCGUGAAAGAUCUCUUAUAAUAGAAUUUGUUUACAAGGUUGACAAAAUGGAAAAGAAAAAGGGGCCCAAGGCUAUAUCAGUUUAGAGUUACUUAUGACCAUUCAGGAAUAGAGAGAAACAAGUCAUCUGCAUCAGAGCAGUACAAUCCUUCUUCCAUUACAUGCCAGACUGGAAUUUGUCAACAGAAAACUGAAACAGAAUAAGGAUUCAUAGAAGGCAUCGCAUCAUAUUGAUAUAACUAGCAACUACAGAGACACCACAGAGCAGUGACUUUGUAGGCAUCAUGUCCUCUGUCCUCACACCAUAUGGCAAUGGCUUGCUAAUGGUAGAUGUUUUGCACUGUUGGUAUUGUCUCCACCAGACCACUGUUCUAAGAAAAAGACCAAUAUAUUUGUCAUACACUGUACCCUUCUAACUUACAUCAGAGGUUGUACAAGUUAUGCAGUUGCAGUUUUUGGCAACAACAUGGCAGCUCUGUAAGACUGAUCCAGCUUACAAAACAUCAAUAUUUAAGAAAAUACAAUUGGAAAAAUAUUAUCAUUUAUCAUCUAAAAGAUCCAAAGCCUUCUGCACACUGUCUUCUCUUCAGUUUCUUGAUCCUCUGUUCAGCAGAUAGGCAAGGGCUCACCGUUCCACUCUUUGAGGCACUCGAGCAGCGCGUCGAUGUGCUUGCCCUGGUUCAUGGCGACGAACACCUUGUCCACCUCUUCCCCAGGAGACCGCGUCAUCUCUCCAGUCAAGUACUCAGUCCCAAGCUCCUUGCGCACAAACCGGUAGAGUGGGUACGACCGGCAUUCGGUGAUACGGUUCUGCUGCGCGGCGGUGCCGUUCUCCACUGAGGUCCGUGCAGCCUCGACCUCCCUUGGUAGAACUGCACGGAGCUCCUGCUCGAACGUGGCAAGCUUGGCAAACACCGACGUCUCCACAUCGCGCUCGGCCUCACCGUUGGCCAAAGCGUGCUCGACGAGAACUGCACGCAUCUUUUGCAUCAGUGGGUAGUUGGAGCUGCAAGGGUCAUCUGCAUACGCGAACACCGCCUCACGGUCGAUCGUGAGCAGCAAGUCCUUCUCGCAGAAGCGUGCGUUGUGGAGAUGUCCAUUGUUGUUGGUGCUGAGUGUCUUCCUGGCUGCCAUCUUCACACAGCUCUUGACGGCAUCCUUGAUAUUCUCCUCGAGGUGACGGAGGUCGAUGGCCUGGCACAAGGCGACCAUGAAAGUAGAGGACAUGAGCUUGAGUAUGUCAAUGGCCUCGGCGGUCUUCCUGGAGGAGAUAAGACCAAGAGAGUUGACAUCUUGGUUGUGUUGCUCGGCGCUCUGGACAUGGUUGGUCACCGGGUUGCCUAAGAACUGGAGCUCGGAGCAGUAUGAGGCCAUGGCAAUCUCAGCACCCUUGAACCCAUAGUCCAAACUCGGGUUGCGCCCGCCGGAGAGGUUGGAAGGCAGACCGUUGUUGUAGAAGUCGUUCACCAGCUCUGAGAACUGCGCAAACAUGAGCUUGCCGAUCGCAGCAAUGGCGAGCCUUGUGCCAGGAUGGCCUUGCCGCGGGAGACGUCGAUCAGUGGGUUGUCGUUCACGGAGUUGAUCUCCCGCUCGAUUGACUUGGUGGCAGCGCGUAUCACCUCUACCUGGGGGCCAAGCCAUUGUGGCGAUGUUCGGAGUGCAUACCUAUCUUGCUUUGGCUUCAUCAACGGGUCAAGCUCGCCGAGCUUCUUUGCGAGUGCCAUGUAGGAGCUUCCUUCAAGGAUGUGCUCCAUGAUGGCGGCAGCCUCAAUCUGCCCGGGGUGGUGCUUUAGCUUGUGUGUCAAGUGGUCAGUGUACUCCGGCUUACCGUUCAUGACCUCGCAGAAGACGGCUGAUAGAACCUCGGCAAGGAGGCUGAGGAUGUUAGCCUCGAAAAGCACCAUGGACGCAAGCCCGGAGCCCACUGCUGUGCCGUUCACCAUGGCAAGCCCUUCCUUGGGCUGCAGCUCAAAGAAGCCAUGCUGGAUGCCGGCGAUCUUGAAGGCCUCCGCUGCGUUAACCUUGCUGCCGUCCGGAGCAGUGGCCAUGGAAUUUGCCCGACCGGUCACCAGGCCCGCGAUAUAGGAAAGCGGAACAAGGUCGCCGGAGGCGGUGAUCGUGCCCCGGAGCGGCAGGCAUGGUGUCACGUUGGCAUUGAGAAGCGCAGCGACCGUCUCGAGGAUCUCAAAGCGGAUGCCAGAGUACCCCUGGAGCAGAGUGUUGACACGGACAAGCAUCGCCGCCCUCGUCGCUGCGGCGGGAAGAACAUGGUCGUGGCCACCUGUGCCGAAGGCUCCGGCAUUAAGGAAUCUGAACAAACAAGAAGUGCACAAGAAAAUAAGGCAUCCAGAUCACUAAAAAAAUGAGGAGUACAGGACGAUCAACAACUGAAUAUCUAACUUGUUGGUGGUUUAGUUUAACUGAUUCGUACCUGAUGAGCUCCCUCUGGAGAGCGCCACCCUCCUUGGUCCUCCGGUGGGAUGUGGCGCCGAAGCCUGUGGUGACACCGUAGCUGUCGGUGCCGUUUGCCAUGCUGUUCAUGACCCAGUCACUGCUCUCCUUGACCCGGCCUCGGGCAGACUCGUCGAGCUCCACCCUGGUCUCACUACCGGCGGCCACAGCGGCGACCAUGGCAAUGGUCAGGCUAGCACCCUCCAUGGUCACCACUGGCCUACGGUACUCCUGGACCAUCUGCUUCACCGCGUCCAAAUGGCUCCCGGACAGCUGCUCCGCUGCCUUGCCCCAGUUCAGCGGGUCGGCCCGCGCAGGCUGCGCCACGCCCAAGCUGUUGCCGUUGCCGGCGACCUGCCCGUUCUCGCACUCCAUCCAGAUAUGCAAAUUAAGAAGCAAGCUAGAAACUUGGCAGCUGUAAGUAUGUGUAUCUGGAUGAACUCUGUAAGUGGUAGAAGGACUUGCGCUGAAGUGGAGCUCAAAUUGGAGAGGAAAGCGAGGGAGGCUCUUGUUGGAGAGGAAUGGAGGAAGAGCAUGGGUUAAAUAGGUAGGGUGGUGGGUGGGUGUGGACUUGACCGCUGGAUUGGUCCUAGUCAGGGUUGGUGUAUUCUUGUGUUAAUCAUGCAUGCAACGACCCUGUUUGCUCUUAGGAGAAACGAAUCUAGCUACUUGGUCCAAGCCACUCGUCUUCUUCCUUCUAAUGGUGAACGUUUCAAACAAGCGUACGUAGUGGCUGCUUGCACGAUGCAUAAACUACUAUAGGAAAUCUUAUUAAAAAACAGCUACACGGAGGUAUGGUCUUUGCUUUGACAAAGUAUCUGUGAGUCCAAAGCUGGACAAACAGGAGUUGUUAUCUGCUAAUGAUCCAUAAGAGCUUUCACUUUCACUAGUAUUUUGUUGGGUGCAACGAACCCCACAUAUUCUCACGUGCUCGGUCAUAUGGGUGGGUGCAAGUGAGAGAUAUUCCGGUUUGCAGUGGUCCUAGCGCGUUGCAUGUAUGCCACCGUGUGAAAGAUACAGUGCCACUUGACUUGCCAGAUUUCUUAGUGCAACAUGACUUGCGAGACAUGAGUUUGCUCGGUGGAAACGAUUUCUUAGAAAAAGCAACGGCCAUCCUCUCGUCAGUCAUCCGCGUGCACAUGUGAAUGCCAUCACAAGCAUGCCACAGAAAAUUAGGACCAUAUAUGCGUGAGUGGUCAAGUCGUUGGUCAUACCAAGUCGUGUGUGAUAUUUCAUUGCUAAACUCGUUAAAUCUCAGUCGACUGAGAUUUAGCGGAAUAUCAGUCGACGCACCCCCUUUUUCGGAUCUUUUUUUGCUUCAAUUAAAUCUCAGUAGUGACAAUUAAAUUUAUGCAAACAGUGGACCAAAUUGUUACUUUGUGAAGUCAAUUAAUCUAUUUAGCUUUUCCACGCAAAAGGAGAAUAAUUACCCAAUAUAUUUUUUUCAGAAAUUUAACCCAAUGUUCGUAUGGGUGCAGCAAGAUUAUCCGUUAGGCUCUGUAGCACACAUAAGAAAUCACAUGAUUUGGCUAUCUAAGAUAUGCAGAAUCAAAUGCAAUGCAUGUGUAGUGCAGAUAAAAAUCAAAAUAUUGUAAAAGAUGGAGCUCGUACGUACCAAACCUGCCAGAUGGCUUUAUAUGAAGUUCAGAAUUAGGAUUAGGCUGCACAUCAAGAAGCGCCAAUUCAUUCUCAGACAUUUAUACUUAUCCGGAGAACAACAUAGAGUUGGGCUGCACAGUGUUCCAGCAUGUACAUCUGGGAAAAUAACAAACUGAAGAUCAACACAGGAGCACUUGAACUUAAACUGCAGAAGCAUUGUUGUAGUCCGUAGGUCGCCGUCCUCGCCAAGUUCAAGCUAGCAAGCACCUCGGAACUACCAGCAAGCGGCACAAAACGUACAAACACAACAUAAGAACAGGAAAUUAAUCUAACAACAAAGAAAGAAACCCAGAACAUAUAGGAGGCUCGAGCUCACCAUUGCUACUUUGACCUUCAUCGGAGCUGUGCAGACCAUGGAAAUCCAUCAAAAAAUACAGAAGAUUAAUCCUCCAAAGCACCACCAGAAAUCCAAAAAUACAAUAGCUAAUAAGUGCAUGCACUGACGGCCUGACGGGCCAAUCGCAAGGAGAAGAGAUGCUCAAGCUCUUUUUCAGUUGGGCUUGUGAGUGUUCAUAGCGACAUAAAGAGGGCAUUUGUGAGGCCAGCGACCUUCUCCUUCCCGAACUCAUCCGCUGGAAACGUGGCCGAUGGUCAUGGUAUGUCUGAGACCGUCGACGCGAGGAGGGCAUGGAGCAGAGCAACCCGUGCGCACACAUACUCGCUUGGCUUCGCAGGGAUGGCCGCAUCAGGCCGCGAUGGUGAUGGACGCGUCUUGUGCGUCCGAGGACGCCAGCGGGAGGAAGCCCGGAGUAGGAGCGGCGCGUCAGGAGAGCCGGGAGCAGACCAACGGCGUGCGCACAUGCUGAUUCGGCUGCGCGAGGAUGGCCUCAUCUCGAUGACUCUUUCCACGGAAAGGAUGAAGGGAUCCAACGUGAGCGCCCAUAGGGAUAGCUAGAGCUCCGAUAUGCCUACAAUCAGAAGGCCCAUCAGGGACGAAUUGCAGGGAUCCCGAAACGGGAAGCAGUGCGUUGGAGCGGGAGGAAGAGUACGGGGGACGGGGAGGCUUGGGAAAGCCGAGGGGAGGGGAAGGGGAAGAAUAAGCGGUGGCCAGGGAGAGGAAGCGGAGAAGGCCAACUCGCUCGCCUCGGUUUCCAUACUGUAUUAAUUGAUUGCGUGGCUCAUAAUAAGUCGAAAGUGGAACACGCAUGCUAAUGGUGAAGCUGACGUGCAUGUUUUCUAUUGUGGUGGGCAGUGUGGGCCCCGCAUGUAAGCCUAUGACCAAAUGUUGAUGUGGCACUAUUGCUGAUGUGGAUGGGCUGCAUGUCAAGAGAAAUACCAUAGUGGGGAUGAACUAUUUAGGUAUUAUAGAUAAGGACAACUUGACAUAUUGCAUGACCUUAUUUUCUUAAUUCAGUGUAAAGUUUCUAUGCAUGAAAUUUAAGGUUUGUACCAAAUUGAAGCUACAUGCUUUUGUGCAGGACUAUAGAUUUGUGAUAUAUGACUCUGAAAAGCCAUCUUUGGCCCAUCAGAAUGAAGAGACAAAUCAAAAGAGACAUAGGGUGAUUUGGGAGGGAAUAAUGAAGAGCCAUAUAUCUUCUACAAGUCCACCUAUGGGGAGAUGUUCAUGGAGCCUUCGGCUCAUCAGAAUGUAGGGAAAAUCCAAAGGAGACAUCCAGAGACUUGGGAAAGGGGACCAAGAAAGAGCCAUGUUUCCUUGACAUCCCUAUAUAUGUAUAUAUAUAUUAUAUUAUAUAUCAUCAGAUGUCCAUGGAGCAGAAUAUCAUGGGAAGUUUUCGAGCUCUCUCUCAGCAAUUUCAGGUAAGAACUACAAAUACCUUAUUUCAAUACUCCCAUGUGCAAAGCGACAUUGACCAUGCGAUACCCAUCAUUGAUUCUUGUUCACAUGUACAACUCCCUGAAGCAAAAGUUAUGGUGAAUUUGGGGAACAUAUAUAGGA